RNAcentral lists this long non-coding RNA (208 nucleotides) under Lathyrus oleraceus (garden pea). RNAcentral's name for it is "Pisum sativum (pea) long non-coding RNA (PSAT_LNC015741)". Lineage: Eukaryota; Viridiplantae; Streptophyta; Magnoliopsida; Fabales; Fabaceae. The record is from RNAcentral.
AUUUCACUCGUCCUGUGAAUUCAGAUGCAGUCAAGAAAUACUUCGCCUAAAAUAAAAAACAGAAUAGCUCGCUUAGUUGAAAACCCGAAAGAGCGAUCCAGGCAAAAGUUAACGACAUAAAAAAUGAAUAUGUAUCCCGCUAGAUUGAGUACCUCACCCUGGGGCAAUCUAGGCAAAACUUAGGGAUUUGGGAAGUAACUGCAUCCUG